This 72-nucleotide transfer RNA is filed under the name Corallococcus coralloides DSM 2259. RNAcentral describes it as "tRNA-Arg (TCG) (tRNA-Arg-TCG-2-1)". The record is from RNAcentral. Lineage: Bacteria; Pseudomonadati; Myxococcota; Myxococcia; Myxococcales; Myxococcaceae.
CGGGCCUGGAGAUGGUUGCGAAUUGGGGGUGGCCUUCGGAGCCAGAGGCCGCAGGUUCGAAUCCUGCAUCGA